GACGAACGCUGGCGGCGUGCUUAACACAUGCAAGUCGAACGAUGAAGCUAGAGCUUGCUCUGGUGAAUUAGUGGCGAACGGGUGAGUAACACGUGAGUAACCUGCCCCGAACUCUGGGAUAACUGCUGGAAACGGUAGCUAAUACUGGAUACGACCUACGAAGGCAUCUUCUGUAGGUGGAAAGAAUUUCGGUUCGGGAUGGACUCGCGGCCUAUCAGCUUGUUGGUGAGGUAAUGGCUCACCAAGGCGACGACGGGUAGCCGGCCUGAGAGGGGAAACGGCCACACUGGGACUGAGACACGGCCCAGACUCCUACGGGAGGCAGCAGUGGGGAAUAUUGCACAAUGGGCGCAAGCCUGACGCAGCAACGCCGCGUGAGGGAUGACGGCCUUCGGGUUGUAAACCUCUUUUAGUAGGGAAGACGCGAAAGUGACGGUACCUGCAGAAAAAGCACCGGCUAACUACGUGCCAGCCGCCGCCGUAA
RNAcentral lists this ribosomal RNA (484 nucleotides) under uncultured bacterium. Its description in RNAcentral is "partial 16S ribosomal RNA". It matches the Rfam family "Bacterial small subunit ribosomal RNA", at positions 28 to 523 of the family's 1533-position model. The record is from RNAcentral.